GGCUGAUUAGUUUACAGGAAAACGGGUGUUUUGAAAACACCAGAAAAGAAAUAAUCUUCUUAUUAGCCGC
This 70-nucleotide transfer RNA is filed under the name Scyllarides squammosus. Its description in RNAcentral is "tRNA-Ser". Lineage: Eukaryota; Metazoa; Arthropoda; Malacostraca; Decapoda; Scyllaridae. The record is from RNAcentral.